UACGGGGGGAGCAAGCGUUGUUCGGAUUUACUGGGCGUAAAGAGCUCGUAGGCGGUGUGUCGCGUCGGCCGUGAAAACCUGCAGCUUAACUGUGGGCGUGCGGUCGAUACGGGCAUCACUGGAGUUCGGCAGGGGAGACUGGAAUUCCUGGUGUAGCGGUGAAAUGCGCAGAGUAUCAGGAGGAACACCGGUGGCGAAGGCGGGUCUCUGGGCCGUAACUGACGCUGAGGAGCGAAAGCAUGGGGAGCGAACAGG
Molecule: ribosomal RNA, 255 nt
Filed under: uncultured bacterium
Lineage: Bacteria
Description: partial 16S ribosomal RNA
Rfam family: Bacterial small subunit ribosomal RNA
Source: RNAcentral